GCUCCUAUGGCUCAGUUGGUAGAGCGCAUGACUAGUGAUCAUGAGGUCCGCGGUUCAAAUCCGCGUGGGAGCA
RNAcentral lists this transfer RNA (73 nucleotides) under Aspergillus pseudotamarii. It matches the Rfam family "tRNA". From Rfam's summary of the family: Transfer RNA (tRNA) molecules are approximately 80 nucleotides in length. Their secondary structure includes four short double-helical elements and three loops (D, anti-codon, and T loops). The record is from Rfam by way of RNAcentral. Lineage: Eukaryota; Fungi; Ascomycota; Eurotiomycetes; Eurotiales; Aspergillaceae.